AAAAAUCUGAGAAAAAUUUGAGCGUCUUCUUCACUCUCAUCUCUUUGUACGUCUUCGUUGACUGUGUUUUAUUCUCAUAAAGAGCAGUCUUCUUUCUUCCUGAUGUUAGAGUCUAAUCAAAAACCUUCUUAGGUGCUCCUCGCUUUCACUGCUUCCGAUCUCUUCCUUCUCCGCCGGUGAAAUCAGGUUCUGAAAUCAUCCUCGAUUGGCGGAUGUGGGAGACGAAUCUGAGAUGAUGGACUCGAUUGAACUCACGGCUUACUUCAGUUUGAAGAUGAAACUGAGAUCAUCCAUCAUCCGGCGAACAGGAAAUGUUGGCUGGCUCCUCCAAAUUCAGAACUAGUUUGUGGAGCAUAAGCCAGAUUCUGAGGACUUGAUUGAUACAGCACACGUUGACAUCAUCAGGCUACCAAUGCUGGUCUAUGCGUCGAGAGAGAAGCCGCAUGGUUCUGAGAUCACAACAAGAAAGCAGGAGCCAUGAAUGAAUGCUUUGGUUAGAACCAGCGCAACGCUAUCAUAUCCCCAAUCUUGAUUCUGACCAUUACGUCUACAACUCCGUGGCUAUGUAUAAUCAGUUCCCUCAGAGGUUUCGAUAUGCAAACCACAUCAUUGUCUUCUUUGAUGUUAGUAUGAAGUCUGCAAGUCUUUGUAUCUUCCGGAAAGAGCCAUUAACUGUCGGAGGGAAACUUACCGGGAAUGUUUUUGGUGGCACUGGUAGGCGUUUUGUUUUUGAGGAUUAUAAUUUAUAAGCAAGUUAUGCAGAGAAGAAGCAGAGAGGAAAAGAGUUUUUGGUAACUAAAAAUGCAGUGGAAUGAUUGGCAUUGUUUCUUCUUAUACGAGAUUGUGUGUGUGUGUGGCGUUUGAUGUCUCACGUUGGAGAGGUGGUCGUGUUUAGAGUGUUAGUGUUUAGUUCUGUUCUUCUGUUGAUCUGUUUUUAUGUAAAUCACACAAUUAUGCAAAACAAAUCUCUCUUCAGAAAGGGAAUACUGUU
This is a long non-coding RNA of Arabidopsis lyrata subsp. lyrata, 991 nucleotides long. RefSeq lists it as uncharacterized. The transcript is spliced from 2 exons. The record is from RefSeq and is a predicted model, not a curated record. Lineage: Eukaryota; Viridiplantae; Streptophyta; Magnoliopsida; Brassicales; Brassicaceae.